RNAcentral lists this ribosomal RNA (570 nucleotides) under Ceriporiopsis resinascens. RNAcentral's name for it is "eukaryotic LSU rRNA". It matches the Rfam family "Eukaryotic large subunit ribosomal RNA", at positions 73 to 646 of the family's 3401-position model. The record is from RNAcentral. Lineage: Eukaryota; Fungi; Basidiomycota; Agaricomycetes; Polyporales; Meruliaceae.
GAUUCCCCUAGUAACUGCGAGUGAAGCGGGAAAAGCUCAAAUUUAAAAUCUGGUAGCUUUCAGUUGCCCGAGUUGUAGUCUAGAGAAGCGUCUUCCGUGUUGGACCGUGUAUAAGUCUCUUGGAACAGAGCGUCAUAGAGGGUGAGAAUCCCGUCUUUAACAUGGACUACCAAUGCUUUGUGAUGCGCUCUCAAAGAGUCGAGUUGUUUGGGAAUGCAGCUCAAAAUGGGUGGUAAAUUCCAUCUAAAGCUAAAUAUUGGCGAGAGACCGAUAGCGAACAAGUACCGUGAGGGAAAGAUGAAAAGCACUUUGGAAAGAGAGUUAAACAGUACGUGAAAUUGCUGAAAGGGAAACGCUUGAAGUCAGUCGCGUUAGUUAGAACUCAGCCAAGCUUGCUUGGUGCAUUUUCUAGUUUAACGGGCCAGCAUCAGUUUUGGCUGCAGGAUAAAGAUUAGAGAAAUGUGGCAGCCUCGGCUGUGUUAUAGUCUCUGAUUGUAUACUGUGACCAGGACUGAGGAUCUCAGCACGCAUUUGUUGUUGCUUAGGAUGCAGGCGUAAUGGCUUUAAACG